Molecule: transfer RNA, 74 nt
Filed under: Phytophthora infestans T30-4
Lineage: Eukaryota; Oomycota; Peronosporomycetes; Peronosporales; Peronosporaceae
Rfam family: tRNA
About the family: Transfer RNA (tRNA) molecules are approximately 80 nucleotides in length. Their secondary structure includes four short double-helical elements and three loops (D, anti-codon, and T loops).
Source: Rfam by way of RNAcentral
CCGCUUUUAGCUCAGUGGUCGAGCGUUGGCUUUGGAAGCCACAGGGUCGGUGGUUUCGAACCCGCCAGGGCACA